UGGGGCCUUCCCUGGGGGUAGGCCCUGUCCAGGGGCAGAGGGCGGGUCCAGUGCCCAAGACUGACACUGCUUCCCACCUAUCCGCCCACAGGUGAGAGGCCCUUCGCCUGCAGCUGGCAAGACUGCAACAAGAAGUUUGCACGCUCAGACGAACUGGCCCGGCACUUCCGCACGCACACGGGGGAGAAGAAGUUCAGCUGCCCCAUCUGUGAGAAGCGUUUCAUGCGCAGCGACCACCUGACGAAGCAUGCGCGGCGCCACGCCAACUUCCACCCAGGCAUGCUGCAGAGGCGCGGCGGCGGCUCGCGGACCGGCUCCGUCAGCGACUACAGCCGCUCAGAUGCCAGCAGCCCCACCAUCAGCCCGGCCAGCUCGCCCUGAGCGCCCAUGGCUGGGCAGGCGGCCAGCGGCACCACCCGGCAGAGCCCACUGCCCGGCUCUAAGUUCGGAUCCUGGAGUGGCACAGCCCUGCCAGCUGGGCUUCCUGCUGUCCAGCUGCCAGAGUUCUUGGCCCCCCCAGGUCUGAGUGACCCCCCACCCCGUUACAGCCAUGAGCAGAUGCUUGUACUUCCUUUUGUGAUUCCCUGUCUUUUCCUUUUGUAAUAACAGAGAGAGAGAACUUUUUGAAAAGUCAACAACAACAACAAAUUUUUCUUCACCUCAGGUGUCAAAGUAAAUUUGUAGAAAAACAACAAAAAAAUUCAAAAAAACACCACACACAGAUUGCACAAUGGACUACCACGAGGUUGACAUUCAGCGGUGUGAACCCCCUUUCUCAGGGAUGGACAUGUUUCAUAGGACCCCCCGCCUCCCCGGAGCCCUCUCUGCAGCCUCGCAGAGAACUGGAAGCAGAGACCCAGCAGAGACCCAAGUCCUGUAGGGCACUAGCCACUGUCGAGCUGACACGGCCCAGGCCAUGCCUGCCCCCAUGGCAUCGAGGACUCACAGAGCACGAGAGGGUGGUGCUCGCAGAAGGUAAGGGGCCUUCCCUCUCCUACGAUGCUCUCUGACUGGAAAACACAGCCUGGGAAUUCUGGUCUUCUAAAAAGAUGUGUUGUUGCUUCACCCGGUCCCGAUCCCCUGGACAGGCCCUGCUGCCAAGGCCCUUGUCUGUGGCCAAGGCUGAGGUUGUCGGCCACUUCACCGGAGGGCUGUGUGUGGAUGGCACACGUGUGCUCGGUGUUGUGCAGAUACCAUGUCUUGUCAGAGACUGGAACACUGUGACCUGGAGCCUUUCUGUAGUGGUGAAGCGGAUGUCAGGAAAACUCGUCUGAGAAAGUACUUGUUUUCCUCCCCAGGGCAUACCAGAUGGAAGGUUGUGGAAAGCACUUUUCUUAGAUCUACAAGGUCCCCAGGUCAGACUUAGCCGACUUGGCGUCCCCUGGACCCUCUUUCCUCUCUGCUUCUCCAGGUUAUGCCAGUGGGGGGUUUGGACUGGAGUGCCCCUCGCAGGUUCUCGCUAAUCAAGGCAGCGCAGAGAGCCAGCCAGGACAGUUCCCCAAAGCUCCUCCUUCUGCAGAAAGCUGGACACGGGCCUCUCAGCACUGCUUGCCAGAGGCACCUCCCCACCUCCCCUCCCAAGUGGGGGCCUUUAAGUCCAAGUCCCCAUGACAGUGUGUGAGUGUGUGUGUAUGGAGGUAGGGUUGGGCAGACUUGGGGUGUUUUGCAGAGACCUGUACUCAUUUUGAUGAGGAAGAGCCCUCGAGCCCCCAGACGGGCUUGCUGGGCCCAGAGUGCCUUGGCUGUGUCUGUCCAUCUUCCCCUGCACUCCACCCACACCAUGGGGCGAUGGUAGCACAGAAGACCCCAGAGGCGAUAAGCACAGCCAAGGUCCGCAGCCCCUGGCAGCUGCUUCGGGCUGGCUCCAGCGUGGAUGGCCCCCUGUGUGUGGCCAGGGCACCCUGAGUGUCAUGUGUGUGAGCGGGCACUAGCUGUGACGUGGUGGUGGCUCAGAGCAGCACCAUAGGUACUGAGUUGGGUGGUAGCAUUGGUCCUGCUGCUUGGGUGGGUUGGGGGAGAGGUGGAGUGCAGAGCGCGGUGACAGCCCUGCAUGCACCCUGCCCAGGAGAGAGAGUGGAGUGCUGGAGAGACCUCGGCAAAGGAGAGCGCUGGGUGCUUGGGCGCUGAGACUUCGCACCCAGGGCCAAGGCGAGCUCUGGAAGGACCCCUGGCGGUCCCUCCCAAAGCUGUUUCCCUGCCAGGCAGGGAGUGCCACACUCAGAAUACGUCUCAUGUCUCAGGAAUUCACAUUCCAGGUUCAGGAAUUUUAUUCCAAAGUCCUUUGGUGCGAUCACUGUCCACAGGUCCCAGAAGGCAGGGGGAGGUGUCCCUUGGAAGCAGCAAGACCUUCUCCCCAGGAGGGGUGGGGGCUCCCUGUGCCACGUCCAAGGUCAUGGAGGAGUGUCUGCACCCCUACCUCUGUAUGUGCAUAGGAAGGGAAAAAGGACUGAAACCCAGGCGGCUUGAAAUAAAGAGCUGGUUUGUUUUCCGUGGGGGUGGGGUGGGCUAGGGAAAGGGGGCGUUUGCUGUUUCCAAAGAGAGCACUUAAUUUAAUUUCUCCUCUCAGUGACCCAGGGCUGUCCGUCUGGCAGAUGGGAGGGUAAAGUUGCCUUAAAACAGAAAAAUGCAGGCGUGGGCUAUUUAUGGCAGAUGAGCGUCUUCGUUCCCAAAAGUGUCUCUCGCUAAAUGGAGGGUGUAGUCCCUUCAGUGGCCUCGCCCGGGAGAUGGGUGGGGUGCCCUCAGACUUGGGGCACCUGGAGGGCAUUGGUGCUGGGAACCCCGGGGCCAUUCAGCCUGGGGCUCCAGCCUGGACCUUGUGGGAUCACCUGGGCUGAAAUUAUCUCACUUGAAGGGUGGAAAAAAUCUGAGAGUCCCAGGCUAAGUCCAACUGGGCGCUCCCCAGUAUGGCUCCAUCUUGGGAGUGUGUGUCUGAGGGGGAGCCUCAGGAAGCCACACCUGCCCAGGCCUCUGCAGGGGGCCCACCAGAGACAGCUUGCAGUUCCUUCUGAGCUGGAGAAUGCCCUGCCCAGCCCAGGCCUGGUUCAGGGUGUUUCAUGUUAUGGUUUGUGACCGCGCUUGCUGCUUUCAGUGGGUUGAGGAACCACAGCACCUCCAGGAACAAUAGUGCAACCUCACACCGUCAUUUUAGCACAGGCUUCAGUUCUAGCAGGCCGAGGAGGCUGCUUGAGCGAAGUGAGAGUCCCCGCCAAAAAACGGCCUACAGGUGACCCUGGAUGCAAUCUCCAGGGGGCUGGUGUUCAGCUUGUGACCCAAACAAUAAAGCCUGUCUUUGCAUCAGCCAUUUUAGGGAAUGGCUUCUGCUCCCCUAAAUGCCUACAGAAUCCUAUAGCCAUACUAGAAAAUCAGAUACAACCCUAUCCACAAGGGCCUGUGGGCCUCUCCUGCUGGGUGCUAUGUGGAACUUUUCAAAUGCAGUUCUGGAGGCCGUGCUCACACCCUGCGCCCACUGCCUAUCACAGCUUCCUGAACUGCAGACCCCGCCCCCUUUAUCCCCGGCCACUCCUCCAGGCAGGUGUUCCCUUGGCAGGCAGGGACUCCCUUGGCGGGCAGGUGCAGGAAUCCCCAUGGCCUGUUUUGUUCAGCCUCCGAGGGUAACACCAACAGUACCAGGGCUCCAGACCUCACUAGCACUGGGUCAUGGCACAGACACUGAUCAGGUCUAGGUGGGCAGUGGGCCUCAGCAGCCCCCAGCCCAUUUGCUGAACAUUUACAGAGAGGCGGUGACUUCCCAUGGCCUGUGUGAAACAUGGCAGAGGUGGAUCCUGCUCACGGCUUCUCCGACCAGCCCGCUGUCUGCAGAGCCCAGCCUCCUUGCUGGCCCGAAGCAGGUGCUGAGCACUGCACAGGUCAGGUGCUCACCUGAGACCUCAUGCUCCCCCCUGAACGGGGGGCCACUGUAGGAAAGCAGGGUCUGAGCAGAGCACCCCCGGUUUCUCUGCCCCAGUUUGGGCUGUGUUUACAAGGCUACCUAGUACUGAAUUCUGACGGGUGUCACUGAAUUUUUUUUUUCUUUUAAACCUAUUUAGAAAAAGUCAGUCAAAGACACCGUGCCAGCAAGUUUGAGGGGUUUGACGUGUUGGUCACGUCACCACUAGUGGUAGGAAAUAGGAAAGAGGCGGUGCUUUGUGAGUCACCCACGUCUUGUGCUGCCCAAAGGCUGUGUUUUUCACAGCUGAGCUGGAGGAUGUGGGCUGGCCACUCUUGAGUUCAGGAUUGCCCCUGGGAGAGCCAGGCCAUAGGACCAGCUCUCCUGGUUCGUAGGUAGGUUUCAAAGGCUUGUCCUGGACACGGUCCGGAGGGUUUCUUACAGAAUUCGGAGGCGCAGCGUAGCUUACCACUGAUAAAUGCCUGGGCGUCAUCCUUUAGGCCUCCCUCAGUCACCAGCCUGUCCCAUCCCUCCUCAGUUGGACAGUUGGAUUUGGCAGGCAGUGGGGGCUUUGGGUCCAGAAGAGAAAUGGCCACACUCUUGGUUUCUGCUGACCACACCGAGAGACCAGCUUUGCAGUGUGGCCACCUGGCCCUGCCUCGUCUCUCUCCUUCUCAAUGAGCUUUAAAACUACUACUUUUAUUUAAAAAUUAACAGGAUGGGAAAGCAGCCAGCCCUGCCCUGCAUGUCACGUGUUCCCUGAGGGGGUAGGAGCGGCUGUCUCCCAGGCUUGGGGUUCCUUCUGUUGGCCCUGGGUCUCUUACGAGAGGCUGUGUUGACAGACCACCCCUCACACCCAUUUGGAAACCAGAUAUGCAGCUGUGUGCCUGCAGAGCAAACCCCAUUCUCAGCACACAGGCCAGCCGUACUCCGCAGGGUCCCUCCCCAGGCUGCCCGUGAGAGGAGGGGGUGUCUCCCAGACACCAUGUCAUCAGCCCUGUGUCCAUUCCCAAGGUCAGAGGGAGGAGCUGUCCCUGGGCCCCACCCCUGAGAACCCUGAGGGCUGGACUGCCCUGCGUGAGGUGUCUACUGAGCAACUAUGCAUUGUGGGGUGGGGUUGCGAAGGUCCUUUGAGACCCUGAGCGGAAACUCACUUGUGUGGGUGCCUUGAGGGGUCUCGGCCCCCCAGCCUGUACAGACAACCCCUUCCCAUCCAAAGCCAUGAUGGGAGCUUCUUUGGAAUCAUUUGUCAAAAUGCAAAGGCAAAAUCCAAGGGUCCAAGACCAUUUCCAUCAAGCACAUUUUCUGUUCUGUAGGAACUUUUUUUUUUUAACCAGCACCACACCAUGCUUCCGAAGGCCACGGUUCAUCUUUUCCAGAUCACUACAGUGAAGUAUUACAGUUGUACAGUUCCCAAUCUGGCCUUGGCUUGCUAGGAUGAAACUUUGUAUGUAUUUUGUAUGGCAUAGAUUCUAUAUUGUAAUGAUGUCCUAUGCAAAAAGAAAAAAAUUAACAAAAUUGUAAAUUUUAUCAUUUUAACGUGUAUGCAUGGUUAGUGAUGUUUACAUUUUGAAAUAAAAUUUAUGAUUCAU
Trichechus manatus latirostris (Florida manatee) is the source of this 5478-nucleotide long non-coding RNA. RefSeq lists it as uncharacterized. The transcript has 2 exons. NCBI's taxonomy places the organism in Eukaryota, Metazoa, Chordata, Mammalia, Sirenia, Trichechidae. The record is from RefSeq and is a predicted model, not a curated record.